CACCCUGUAACUGCUCACACUCUGGCUGAGCUGCUUCAGUCUGCCGAUGUCUCUGUGACAGGCUUGUCAGAAGAGCAUGCAAACUUUCUCGCUGUUUUUACUGAUUUUAAUUUGCAGUAGGAAUCAAUGAAUUAAUGAACAGCAGCUUUGCCUCUUUUAAAUGAUUGCACAAGGACUGACUCCCUUUCCUAACAAAGUCCUUUUACUUACUGACUGCUAUUGAAGGAAGAAUGGAUUUCCUGCCUGAAAUAAUGCUUCUCUUAACAGUAGCGCUACCUGCUGCUGCCAAGUCAUGCCGUGCCACAGAAGGAAGAGCUGCCCAGUGCUACGCCGCUUUGGGAGAACCUGUGUUUCUGCAUUUCAUCAUUGACCUUAAAAAUAAAACAUUUCGACUGAUGAAAGACCAUGUUCUGCUUCUACGUUCAAACAAUAAUGAAAUGGAAAAUGGCAAGAAAUACAAGAACAAAAGUAACUCUUUCUUCAACGGGACAUUCGAGUUGUACAAUGUGGUGAAAAAUGAUUCUGGGAAAUACUGCUGUGAAGUGUUUAAUGCCGAUGGAAGACAACACUACAGAGCUGAAAUACAGCUGACUAUUGAAGCCCUACUGCCAAAACCUGAACUAUCCCAACUAUGUUUACCCCACGGAGAGAUGAGAGUGUCCUGUUCCUCUCGGGACGAAUAUUCAGAGCUACGGUGGACCCUGGAGAACCAGAACCUAAACAGGAAUGUGGCCUAUCUGAGCAGCCAAAGGGACACUGUCAUACUGAAGGGGAACGUGUCUGGAGCUCUGGGCUGUGAAGUCAGGAAUCAUGUCAGUAACAGUACCAACACGCUCCAGAUUGUGCCCUGUCCAGGAAUUGACACCGCUGUGACUUUGUGGUGUAAUUCAGCGAACGGAACAGAGGUCUCAUUCACGAUCAGCGCUGCACACUCCCGCUCGGUGCCGAGUAUCACCAGGAUGUUUUUCACUUUUUCUGGGGAAGACCCGGUGCUUGUUAUUUGCAACAGCAGAGCCGACAUGCGGUACCCAACGGUUAUUUUAUUGAUAUUAGCUGCCUCGGGAGUCUUUAUAGCUGUUGCUCUACUUGCAAGAACAUACUGUCUCCAAGUGAGGACCACCAGACACCGCAGUUCCCCAUCAAGUCAGCAAUCAGAUGAAGAGAACGUCCCUGAGCCAGUCUACACGCAAGUUAGUGUGAGGAAAAAGAAGAAAAGUACAGCAAUAGAGCAAGCAGCACUAGAGGAGGUGCAGUACGGACAGGUGAAACUCAGCGAACAUGAUACCCUGUCUGACAGUUUAGGGAUUUCUGUAUAUACUGUGGUUCGGCAAUAGAGCUGAUCAUUUUGUGAAAAUAAUACUGUUCGAUUUUUAAAGAAAGAUUUAGGAUCAGUUUCGGUAUUUAUGGCGUCUGCCUAAGGGAACCUGAGAUCAAUCGCUGAAUAAUUAGCUAAAAAAAAAAAACGUAUUGCACUCUAUUUCCUUUGUCUUAUUCAACAGAUGCUUUAAACAAUGGGCUUUUCAAGAUAAUGAAAACGACAAAGUCCAUAGAACAUCUGACUCCUGUUUUUCUCAGGUUUUUAGAUUGUAUAAUUUUUUUAAAAAAAAUGCAGAUACAAUUAAAAAGCAUUAACUUUCGAUAAAUAUAUAACUGAGAUCUGUUAGAUUUCAAACUUUCUCUCAGUAGUGGUGCUGUGAUCCCUCAGAACUCAUCGUAGACCCAGUGUCUUAUAGUUACUCUUCUGUCUUCUGUCUUAACGUAUGCGCUGAAAUGUUUAGAUCUUCUUGUUCAGAUGAGUAUCUAUGACUUUUCUUGUUGGGUUUGGGCUUUAUGGAAUUCAUAUUCAAAGUUGAACAUGAAUCGUAUAAUAUGCAGUCUAGACAAAACAAAAGAAGAAAUCAAAAAAAAGAGAUGAAGGCCGAUUUUUAACUGAUUAUAAUCAGUUAUCUAUAAUUAUAGAUAAUAAAACAAAACUUUAUGAGAGGCCA
Molecule: long non-coding RNA, 1988 nt
Filed under: Scleropages formosus (Asian bonytongue)
Lineage: Eukaryota; Metazoa; Chordata; Actinopteri; Osteoglossiformes; Osteoglossidae
Description: lncRNA (ENSSFOG00015032591.1)
Source: RNAcentral